This 397-nucleotide ribosomal RNA is filed under the name uncultured bacterium. RNAcentral's name for it is "partial 16S ribosomal RNA". It matches the Rfam family "Bacterial small subunit ribosomal RNA", at positions 523 to 918 of the family's 1533-position model. The record is from RNAcentral.
AUACGUAGGUGGCGAGCGUUGUCCGGAUUUACUGGGUGUAAAGGGCGAGUAGGCGGCUUGUCAAGUCAGGUGUGAAAUCCAUGGGCUCAACCCAUGAACUGCACUUGAAACUGACGAGCUUGAGUGAUGGAGGGGCAGGCGGAAUUCCCGGUGUAGCGGUGGAAUGCGUAGAUAUCGGGAGGAACACCAGUGGCGAAGGCGGCCUGCUGGACAUUAACUGACGCUGAGGAGCGAAAGCGUGGGGAGCAAACAGGAUUAGAUACCCUGGUAGUCCACGCCGUAAACGAUGGAUACUAGGUGUGGGAGGUACUGACCCCUUCCGUGCCGCAGUUAACACAAUAAGUAUCCCACCUGGGGAGUACGGCCGCAAGGUUGAAACUCAAAUGAAUUGGCGGGG